CAGUCGCCGCGGUAAUACGAAGGGGGCUAGCGUUACUCGGAAUUACUGGGCGUAAAGGGCGCGUAGGCGGCACGAUUAGUCAGGCGUGAAAUUCCUGGGCUCAACCUGGGGACUGCGCUUGAUACGGUCGAGCUAGAGGAUGGAAGAGGGUUGUGGAAUUCCCAGUGUAGAGGUGAAAUUCGUAGAUAUUGGGAAGAACACCGGUGGCGAAGGCGGCAACCUGGUCCAUUACUGACGCUGAGGCGCGAUAGCGUGGGGAGCAAACAGGAUUAGAUACCCCCGUAGUCCCUGUCUCUUAUAC
This 301-nucleotide ribosomal RNA is filed under the name uncultured bacterium. Its description in RNAcentral is "partial 16S ribosomal RNA". It matches the Rfam family "Bacterial small subunit ribosomal RNA", at positions 509 to 807 of the family's 1533-position model. The record is from RNAcentral.